RNAcentral lists this ribosomal RNA (253 nucleotides) under uncultured bacterium. Its description in RNAcentral is "partial 16S ribosomal RNA". It matches the Rfam family "Bacterial small subunit ribosomal RNA", at positions 524 to 776 of the family's 1533-position model. The record is from RNAcentral.
UACGGAGGAGGCAAGCGUUAUCCGGAAUUAUUGGGCGUAAAGCGUCCGUAGGUGGUUUAGUAAGUCUGCUGUUAAAGCGCGGGGCUUAACUCCGUAUCGGCAGUGGAAACUACUAGACUAGAGUGUGGUAGGGGUAGAGGGAAUUCCCAGUGUAGCGGUGAAAUGCGUAGAGAUUGGGAAGAACACCGGUGGCGAAAGCGCUCUGCUAGGCCGCAACUGACACUGAGGGACGAAAGCUAGGGGAGCGAAUGGG